Felis catus (domestic cat) is the source of this 86-nucleotide transfer RNA. It matches the Rfam family "tRNA". Rfam says of the family: Transfer RNA (tRNA) molecules are approximately 80 nucleotides in length. Their secondary structure includes four short double-helical elements and three loops (D, anti-codon, and T loops). The record is from Rfam. NCBI's taxonomy places the organism in Eukaryota, Metazoa, Chordata, Mammalia, Carnivora, Felidae.
GCCUGAGUGGCUUAGUUGGUUAAGCGUCUGACUUCGGCUCAGGUCAUGAUCUCACAGUUCGUGGGUUCAAGCCCCCACAUUGAGCU